RNAcentral lists this unclassified non-coding RNA (192 nucleotides) under uncultured fungus. Its description in RNAcentral is "sequence contains ITS1". The record is from RNAcentral. Lineage: Eukaryota; Fungi.
UUAACUUAUUAUAUAGUACUCAGACGACACUAAAUUUCAGAGUUUGGGGUUCUCUGGCAGGCGCGCCCCAGCCGAAACCGGGAGCCCGAAGGCGGCCUGCCAAAGCAACAAGAGUAAAUAACACAGGGUGGGAGGUCUACCCCGAAGGGCAUGAUCUCUGUAAUGAUCCUUCCGCUGGUUCACCAACGGAAA